CUGGUUUUCAAAGCAAGGCCAAAAAAAGACGAGACAGGCCUUAUUUAUGUUACCUCUCAUUUUAAAAGACAAAUGUGACGACUGUGUGGCUGCACCUUUGUGGAAGUACGUUUGCUUGUGUGUAACCUCGACCCUUUCGACUCCCUUUUUUGGCCUUGUUGUUGAAAACUGACCCAUAUUGUUUGUCUUUGAGCACAAUUUUGUGUUUCAGUUCAUAUCAGAGAUUGUCAUGACCACAGACUGUAUAGAAAAGAUGGACGUAGCCACUUUGAUGUCACCAACUGGGGGAAUUCAGGGGGUUAUAAAGUGAAACCAAAGUGACAAAAACUGCACUUCCUCAAAUGGCCACUUGAGGCUGGCUCUAAAACAGAGUAAUCCCCAUAGACUUCCAUAAAUAGACAUGGUUACAGGCUGUUAAAAAGAACGAUUUUGGUCUCUAUAGCUAUUAAACCCAUAGGGAAGAUCAACUUUAUGCGUACGUAAGUGCGUGGCCACUCCUCAGCUCCAGAUCUUUGCAAAUUUUUAGAUUUGCCUUGAUUAGCCAAGAUGGCAAUGACUGGAGCCACACUGAACUUCAAAACUGCUGUUCAGGAAAGCUGUGGGUGAUGUCAUAUUGGGUUCAUUCAUCUUUAUAUGCAGUCUAUAGACCAUUGGUUUGUAGACUACAGCUUUUAAUCCUCAAGUUUGAAAUUUGGCCAUCGCCAUCUAAGUCUUUUUAAAUAUGACAUGCCCAUACGGUAGCAAACUGCCAAUCACAAGGUAGCCUCGCCCUAAAACAUACCCUCCCUUAUCAUCUAAUUACCUCCAAAUGGGACGACAAUGUACAAAAUGAACACUAUGGUGUGUUUCAGGAGACAUAGAAGUAGUAAUUAAGACCAUAAACCCAUUAAGAAAAUGUUUAAUGAGGAAGCAAAUUAAGUGAGAAGUAGCCGAAUUUUCUCCUAGAUAUCUAUAUUUCCCAACCAGAGGAGUUGCCCCCUGCUGGCCGUUAAAAAGAAUACACAUUUCAGGCACUUUUACAUUGUCUUUACAUCCAUCUUUUCUGUACAGUCUGUGGUCGUGACUAAGGGAAUCUAUUUUACAUAAUUUUCAAACCCAAAAUCCUCAGCCUGCCAUGCUAUGCCUCACUUUAUCACGUAGGUGGAUCCAGUCGGCUGUAAACAAUCAGUAAUGUCUGGAACUCAGUGAUUAUGAAGGAAAAAAACAAACCACAGUAUCAGCUGUUAAACCAUGCUCUUGCCUUGGGAAUGGUCGUUUCUGUCAGGAGUUAAUGUCUGCCGGUUGUCUGACUGAAUAUAAAUGUCCAGUCACAGUAAGAAUCAUCUCAUAUACAGCAGAUUGUGGGGAUAAUUGAUUAAAGAGAACAUAGGAAAUAUAUACUGUACUUUGCUGAUGCUUUUUACCACUUGUCCAGAAGUUUUGUGUAUAUUAACUGUUGUGAGCAGCACUGAACAUGUAGACCACAGGCACAAGCUUGUAGCGUCCCUGUAUGUGUGAGGGGAACAAAAACAUCUGUAACUGCCAUAAUGCCCAGCUAGAUAGCCCACUGUGGUUUGCAAAUAGGGAAAACUUGUAUGCAGGCAUAAGCACAUUAUAGUUUCAUUUUUCUUUCUUUUUUUAAAAAAAAAAAUCUGACUGUAGAUUGUAGUGAUGUGGCAACAGCUGUGACUGAGAUUUCUCCACCAAAAAAAUGGUUGUUUCUGGUGGGAUUAUGCACUGUCUGGGUAUGUACAGCUCCAUGUGUUCACGUAUGGCCGUAUGUAUGUAUGUGUGAAUAUCUAUGUAAAUACAUAUUAUUUCUUUUUAUUUUUUAAACUACAAAUGGGAUUGUUGUCAUGUUGGCAGAUUUCUCCUCACAUGGGGCUUCGUGACCGGAGGCCAGUCAGCAGUGAAAAUGACACAGCCGUCUAUGUUGUGUUUUUCUCAACAAUUUAAGGGGAUUUUAAAUUUUUUGCUGAUUGGAUCCUCUCCAGGUUUAUUCUCUUGAGGGUGUUUGAAAAGGAAUACUGAGCUCUGGAUGUGAAGACCUCCACUCCAGGCUAUGAACGCUACAAGCAAAACUAAAAGAAGGAAUUUCACGUUUGCCGGUAGAGAAAAAUGGUGCCAUUUAGUGAAACAAAAACUCUGUCAUGCAGCUGGCAGGUCUAUGUCUUUAGUUUCAUUUUCCUGUUCUCUUUUGUUCUGGGCAUUCUUUUUGUAGUGUUCCUCAGCUUCACUCACCACUUUGAAGGAAAAGCAGUCUUAAUUCCUGCCCUGGAUCAAUGAACUAAGCUGUUGCGUAACACUGCUCUGGCAAACACUCCAGGACUUCAGUGUGGCUACUUGUGAUGUUGUAUUUAACCAGUGAAAGAAAGGACUGUCCAGAAACAAAUAAAAGCGAAUUUUCUUUAA
Long non-coding RNA from Amphiprion ocellaris (clown anemonefish), 2391 nucleotides. Lineage: Eukaryota; Metazoa; Chordata; Actinopteri; Pomacentridae. The record is from Ensembl.